AUACCUGAAUACACACUCUGCUUUAUAUUUUUAAAACCUAAAUUCUAAAAAAAAAAACCUAACCCAACAAAGGAAUUUUUUAGUUUUCUGAAUUUAUUUGCUAACACUCCAGAAGUAUUUAAAUCACAUUUAGUUAUAAAAUGAUCAUAAUGUUGAAAAUAAUAAAAUGAUAUAAAAAAUGGUGUCAUGGAGCAAGCAUUAUAGGUAAGGACAGUCUGGGCUAAUCCACUUUGCCCUCAAUGUGUGGGAUAUGUGUUUAUGAAAUAUUGUGAACCAGACUAAUUCACUUUAGGGCAGCUCUACCUGGAGACACAGAAGAUUAUUAGAUAGUGACACCAUGGGUUUUGACCAUGUGGAAGAGGCUGGUCCCUACUCUUCAGUGUUACAUCUUGGUUAAAUAAAUCAGUCAUGUACAAAAGUCUGGGCUGACGCUUUAAUAAUGCCCAUUUUGGUCCGCUCCACGUGGUUUCAUAAACUAUUUCUGCCUGAAUCAGAUCUGUUGCUGAGAAUUUCAGUUUGCCCUAAUCAUUGUCAGCUUCCUUAUUUCACAUCUUGAAGUCCACCUUAAAAACAAAUCUGCUAUAAUAGCUGACAUAAAGGACAUCUCAUUUAAAAAAAAAAGAUCCCAUUUACUUUUUUUCAUGAGUUUGUUUUCCCAAGUAAAUGUUGUCUGUAGGGCUUUUAGUC
This 687-nucleotide long non-coding RNA is filed under the name Bos taurus (domestic cattle). Its description in RNAcentral is "long non-coding RNA NONBTAT016000". The record is from RNAcentral. Lineage: Eukaryota; Metazoa; Chordata; Mammalia; Artiodactyla; Bovidae.